RNAcentral lists this ribosomal RNA (490 nucleotides) under uncultured bacterium. Its description in RNAcentral is "bacterial SSU rRNA". It matches the Rfam family "Bacterial small subunit ribosomal RNA", at positions 29 to 527 of the family's 1533-position model. The record is from RNAcentral.
AACGAACGCUGGCGGUAUGCUUAACACAUGCAAGUCGAACGAACAAAAUUGGGGCUUGCUCCAAUUUUAGUGAGUGGCAAACGGGUGAGUAACACGUGGGAAUCUACCUAUCAGUACGGAAUAACAUUUGGAAACAGAUGCUAAUACCGUAUAUUCUCCAAGGAGGAAAGAUUUAUCGCUGAUAGAUGAGCCCGCGUAAGAUUAGGUAGUUGGUAGGGUAAUGGGCCUACCAAGCCGACGAUCUUUAGCUGGUGUGAGAGCACGACCAGUCACACGGGCACUGAGACACGGGCCCGACUCCUACGGGAGGCAGCAGUAAGGAAUAUUGGUCAAUGGACGCAAGUCUGAACCAGCCAUGCCGCGUGAAGGAUGAAGGUCCUCUGGAUUGUAAACUUCUUUUAUAUGGGACGAAAAAGGCGAUUCUUGCUCACUUGACGGUACCAUAGGAAUAAGCACCGGCUAACUCCGUGCCAGCAGCCGCGGUAAAGAG